CAACAAUUAAAUACGGAACCUCAUAUAUUUCUGAAGAUAUGGUUUGGAAGUCUCUACCCGGCGCCGUAAAUGCUGGACUAUGAGGGGAGAUGAAUCGUUA
Molecule: regulatory RNA element, 100 nt
Organism: Oceanobacillus picturae
Lineage: Bacteria; Bacillati; Bacillota; Bacilli; Caryophanales; Bacillaceae
Rfam family: Purine riboswitch aptamer
About the family: Riboswitches are metabolite binding domains within certain messenger RNAs that serve as precision sensors for their corresponding targets. Allosteric rearrangement of mRNA structure is mediated by ligand binding, and this results in modulation of gene expression. A class of riboswitches that selectively recognises guanine and becomes saturated at concentrations as low as 5 nM.
Source: Rfam